Molecule: ribosomal RNA, 104 nt
Filed under: Calanthe sylvatica
Lineage: Eukaryota; Viridiplantae; Streptophyta; Magnoliopsida; Asparagales; Orchidaceae
Description: 5.8S ribosomal RNA
Rfam family: 5.8S ribosomal RNA
About the family: 5.8S ribosomal RNA (5.8S rRNA) is a component of the large subunit of the eukaryotic ribosome. It is transcribed by RNA polymerase I as part of the 45S precursor that also contains 18S and 28S rRNA. Functionally, it is thought that 5.8S rRNA may be involved in ribosome translocation.
Source: RNAcentral
AACACGACUCUCGGCAAUGGAUAUCUCGGCUCUCGCAUCGAUGAAGAGCGCAGCGAAAUGCGAUACGUGGUGCGAAUUGCAGAAUCCCGCGAACCAUCGAGUCU